GACGAACGCUGGCGGCGUGCUUAACACAUGCAAGUCGAACGGAAAGGCCCUGCUUUUGUGGGGUGCUCGAGUGGCGAACGGGUGAGUAACACGUGAGUAACCUGCCCUUGACUUUGGGAUAACUUCAGGAAACUGGGGCUAAUACCGGAUAGGAGCUCCUGCUGCAUGGUGGGGGUUGGAAAGUUUCGGCCGUUGGGGAUGGACUCGCGGCUUAUCAGCUUGUUGGUGGGGUAGUGGCUUACCAAGGCUUUGACGGGUAGCCGGCCUGAGAGGGUGACCGGCCACAUGGGGACUGAGAUACGGCCCAGACUCCUACGGGAGGCAGCAGUGGGGAAUAUUGCACAAUGGGCGGAAGCCUGAUGCAGCAACGCCGCGUGCGGGAUGACGGCCUUCGGGUUGUAAACCGCUUUCGCCUGUGACGAAGCGUGAGUGACGGUAAUGGGUAAAGAAGCACCGGCUAACUACGU
Molecule: ribosomal RNA, 467 nt
Filed under: uncultured bacterium
Lineage: Bacteria
Description: partial 16S ribosomal RNA
Rfam family: Bacterial small subunit ribosomal RNA
Source: RNAcentral